ACGAGCAGCUGAACGGAGAGUCUGCCACCGUGAAGGCGAGGAAAGGAACCUUUAAUGAAUCAACCACAGAUUCUCACACUGCAAAAAGAAGCAGAUCAAUGGCCGUUUUAAGAGUUAAAGCUGUUUUCCUCAUGUUCGUUCUGCUGACUCUGCUCUGCUCUGCAAGUUCUUUGAUUGACGACGACGAGCUGAGAGAAAUAAGAAGAAACAUUCAGAAACUGCAACAUAAUGCCGCCAGGAGAAAAGCAAUUAACACAGUUGACCUUAAUUUCAUCCCUGGGAUUAUGGAUGAUGUCACACAGAUAUUGAACAGUUUGGUGGAAACGCUGAUGGGAAAAGUGCCACAUUUUUUGCUAGAAAUCGUGAAAGAGAUAAUCGACUUCCUGGAGCAAAUGAAAGGUUUUGCAAUUAAAGAGCUGCUGAAUCAAGCUGCAAAUAUCAAGAACAGUACAGAGAAGCUGACACAACUGGAAACUCUUGUAACAAACCUAGCAGACAAAAAAAAUAUGUAAAUGUUAUGUUCUGUCAGCGUCUCAGCUCUGUCUCACUGAAGUGAUUUCUCUUUUAUA
This is a long non-coding RNA of Xiphophorus maculatus (southern platyfish), 569 nucleotides long. RefSeq lists it as uncharacterized. The record is from RefSeq and is a predicted model, not a curated record. NCBI's taxonomy places the organism in Eukaryota, Metazoa, Chordata, Actinopteri, Cyprinodontiformes, Poeciliidae. The transcript is spliced from 4 exons.